UCCAGCUUAUCGCUGGCGGUCUCCUGAGAGUGCUUCCCUUGCGGGUAGCAACUACGAGUAAGGGUUGCGCUCGUUGCGGGACUUAACCCAACACCUCACGGCACGAGCUGACGACAGCCAUGCAGCACCUCUACUACGGUCCCUUGCGGGAAGACGAUAUUUCUACCGUUGGUCCGUAGCGGUUCAAGCCCAGGUAAGGUUCUUCGCGUUGCGUCGAAUUGAACCACAUGUUCCACCGCUUGUGCGGGCCCCCGUCAAUUCCUUUGAGUUUCAGUCUUGCGACCGUACUCCCCAGGCGCAGAACUUAACGCGUUAGCUACGGGACGACCCGCCUACGCGGGCCACCCCAAGUUCUGAUGGUUUAGGGCUAGGACUAC
This 377-nucleotide unclassified non-coding RNA is filed under the name uncultured Terriglobia bacterium. RNAcentral describes it as "uncultured Acidobacteriia bacterium contains 16S-23S intergenic spacer region". Lineage: Bacteria; Pseudomonadati; Acidobacteriota; Terriglobia. The record is from RNAcentral.